CCUACGGGAGGCAGCAGUGAGGAAUAUUGGACAAUGGGCGCAAGCCUGAUCCAGCCAUGCCGCGUGCAGGAUGACGGUCCUAUGGAUUGUAAACUGCUUUUGCACAGGAAGAAACAACAUUACGUGUAAUGUCUUGACGGUACUGUGAGAAUAAGGAUCGGCUAACUCCGUGCCAGCAGCCGCGGUAAUACGGAGGAUCCAAGCGUUAUCCGGAAUCAUUGGGUUUAAAGGGUCCGUAGGCGGUUUAGUAAGUCAGUGGUGAAAGCCCAUCGCUCAACGGUGGAACGGCCAUUGAUACUGCUAAACUUGAAUUAUUAGGAAGUAACUAGAAUAUGUAGUGUAGCGGUGAAAUGCUUAGAGAUUACAUGGAAUACCAAUUGCGAAGGCAGGUUACUACUAAUGGAUUGACGCUGAUGGACGAAAGCGUGGGUAGCGAACAGGAUUAGAUACCCUGGUAGUCCACGCCGUAAACGAUGGAUACUAGCUGUUGGAAGCAAUUUCAGUGGCUAAGCGAAAGUGAUAAGUAUCCCACCUGGGGAAGUACGUUCGNAAGAAUUGAAACUNAAAGGAUUGACGG
RNAcentral lists this ribosomal RNA (577 nucleotides) under uncultured bacterium. RNAcentral's name for it is "bacterial SSU rRNA". It matches the Rfam family "Bacterial small subunit ribosomal RNA", at positions 338 to 916 of the family's 1533-position model. The record is from RNAcentral.